UACCAGACUCCUACGGGAGGCAGCAGUGGGGAAUAUUGCACAAUGGGGGAAACCCUGAUGCAGCGACGCCGCGUGAGCGAUGAAGUAUCUCGGUAUGUAAAGCUCUCUCAGCAGGGAAGAAAGAAAUGACGGUACCUGACUAAGAAGCCCCGGCUAACUACGUGCCAGCAGCCGCGGUAAUACGUAGGGGGCAAGCGUUAUCCGGAUUUACUGGGUGUAAAGGGAGCGUAGACGGCUGAGCAAGUCUGAAGUGAAAGGCGGGGGCCCAACCCCCGGACUGCUUUGGAAACUGUAUAGCUAGGGUGCAGGAGAGGUAAGUGGAAUUCCUAGUGUAGCGGUGAAAUGCGUAGAUAUUAGGAGGAACACCAGUGGCGAAGGCGGCUUACUGGACUGUAACUGACGUUGAGGCUCGAAAGCGUGGGGAGCAAACAGGAUUAGAUACCCUCGUAAA
RNAcentral lists this ribosomal RNA (451 nucleotides) under uncultured bacterium. Its description in RNAcentral is "bacterial SSU rRNA". It matches the Rfam family "Bacterial small subunit ribosomal RNA", at positions 329 to 794 of the family's 1533-position model. The record is from RNAcentral.